AUUGAACGCUGGCGGCAGGCCUAACACAUGCAAGUCGGACGGUAGCACAGAGGAGCUUGCUCCUCGGGUGACGAGUGGCGGACGGGUGAGUAAUGUCUGGGGAUCUGCCCGAUAGAGGGGGAUAACCACUGGAAACGGUGGCUAAUACCGCAUAACGUCGCAAGACCAAAGAGGGGGACCUUCGGGCCUCUCACUAUCGGAUGAACCCAGAUGGGAUUAGCUAGUAGGCGGGGUAACGGCCCACCUAGGCGACGAUCCCUAGCUGGUCUGAGUGUAUGAACAGCAACGCUGGAACUGAGACACGGUCCAGACGCCGACGGGAGGCAGCAGUGGGGAAUAUUGCACAAUGGGCGCAAGCCUGAUGCAGCCUUGCCGCGUGUAUGAAGAAGGCCUUCGGGUUGUAAAGUACUUUCAGCGGGGAGGAAGGCGAUGUGGUUAAUAACCGCGUCGAUUGACGUUACCCGCAGAAGAAGCACCGGCAAACUCCGUGCCAGCAGCCGCAGUAA
Molecule: ribosomal RNA, 506 nt
Filed under: uncultured bacterium
Lineage: Bacteria
Description: partial 16S ribosomal RNA
Rfam family: Bacterial small subunit ribosomal RNA
Source: RNAcentral